Molecule: ribosomal RNA, 621 nt
Filed under: Triticum aestivum (bread wheat)
Lineage: Eukaryota; Viridiplantae; Streptophyta; Magnoliopsida; Poales; Poaceae
Description: partial small subunit ribosomal RNA
Source: RNAcentral
AUGGACUCGGAGGACGAGGAGGCACUCGCGGUGCUGCUGGAGAAGGAGGCCGAUGUCGACGUCCAGGACGAAGAGCAUCUCAUGGUCCUCGCCGCCCUGGCCAGCCUGCUCGCGAGCAAUGCAAAGCCGCGACGAGGUGGCUCGGCGCCGGGGCGGCUGAAAGCAAAGAAGCGGCAUCGACUGGAAGGCUAUUGCUUGCUCUACUCCGACUACUUUGCCGACGCUCCACUGCACGGUGACAAAGUAUUUCGGCGCCGUUAUCGGAUGAGCCGAAAGAUUUUCCUCAGGAUUGUGAAUUCCAUCCGGGAGUUCGACAUCUACUUCAAGUGCAAGAAUGAUUGCACUGGCACACUUGGGUUCACCUCAAUUCAGAAGUGCACGCCAGCUAUGAGGAUGUUUGCAUACGAAGCUCCCGAUGAUGCACUCGACGACUAUGGGCGCAUGGCCGAGUCCACGACCAUUGAGUGUUUCUACAAGUUCUGCAGGGCAGUGGUGGCAGUUUUUGGACCGCAAUACUUGCGAUCACCCAAUGCUGAAGACACUGCUCAGAUCCUAGCACAGAAUACAACAAGAGGAUUUCCUGGGAUGCUUGGAAGCAUCGACUGCAUGCAUUGGAAAUAG